CGUGCCGGGUGGGAACACAGAAGCAUCGUGGCCUCGCUGUACUGCCACCCACGCUGUCCUCGGCAGCUGGGGCUGGGCACAGACUUCUCUGAGGGGCUUUCCUGCCUGCCAGCCUCCCCUCCGGGUGGCCCCCAAUGGAGGGCUUGGACAGGCAAGCCCAGGUGAAGCUCAGGGAGAGAAACAGAGAGAGAGAGGCAUCUCAUGGGCCACAUCCUGCCAUGGAUGAGUCUUAUUUGCUCUGCACAGUGCCUAAAAAAAUGUUUGAGCCAGUUGUUUUUGUUUUGUUUUUGAAACAGGGUUUCUCUAUGUAGUUCCGGCUGGCCUUGAACUCACUGUGUAGCCCAGGCUGGGCUCAACCUUGCGGCAACCCUCCUGCCUCAGCCUCUCAAGUGCUGGGAUCACAGGUGUGCACCACCGUGCCCACCAUUAGCCAGUUUUUUAAAGACUUCAUUUGGUUUUGUUUUUUAAAUCCCAAGAUCUCGAAGUUUUUACAGCAUAGGGUGUCCUGGCUACAGGCGGUGUUUGGGGACCCCCCCGCAGCCUCCUGGGCUUCCUGAUUCGCCAGGCCUGGCACCUCCUUUCUCCUACACCGAGAGAGCCCUGGCUUUAGGCUCACUGUGUUGCUGCCGUGAAAUGAGUUUCUUUGUCAUGGGAGCAGCAGCAAGACGAUCAGCGGUGUCCGCCUGCUUUUCGGGGCUGGGUUUGCGCCCAAGGGGUCAGUCGGCCGGGCUUUACAGAGUGUCCGGCUGUGGGAUUGAAGCACCUGUGACUGCUGUGGCCCCUCGGAAUGGAGCCCCGCUCUGCCGAGAAGCUGAGACCCCAGGGCUUCCUGUCAUGCUGGGUGGCCACACAGGAGCCAAACUGGAUCUGCCGUGCUCCAAAGCCCUCCACAAGGCAGAGUGCAUGCACACGUGUGCACACACACACACAUGUGCACAGAGACGCCCCAUUUUGCCCAGUGGAGCUGAACUCUCCCUGGUCCCUGGGGGACCCCACCUACAUGGGGCGACCCUGAGGGCUCCCUCAGCCCCUUUGCCCCUAGGGGCCACCCCUUCCCCCCGGGCCAGGCAUGGGGACCCGAUCCUUGGUACUCAAUGCCUCAAAGGCCCCAGCUCUGCAGCCUGGGCAGUGGCCUGGUGGCCUCGCUGUUGGACGCUCCUGGUAG
RNAcentral lists this long non-coding RNA (1165 nucleotides) under Heterocephalus glaber (naked mole-rat). RNAcentral describes it as "lncRNA (ENSHGLG00000038124.1)". The record is from RNAcentral. Lineage: Eukaryota; Metazoa; Chordata; Mammalia; Rodentia; Bathyergidae.